UGCGUAGGCGGCUUACUAAGUCAGAUGUGAAAGCCCCGGGCUUAACCUGGGAACUGCAUUUGAUACUGGUAGGCUAGAGUAUAAUAGAGGGGGUAGAAUUCCUGGUGUAGCGGUGAAAUGCGUAGAUAUCAGGAGGAAUACCAGUGGCGAAGGCGGCCCCCUGGAUCAAUACUGACGCUGAGGUACGAAAGCGUGGGUAGCGAACA
Molecule: ribosomal RNA, 206 nt
Filed under: uncultured bacterium
Lineage: Bacteria
Description: partial 16S ribosomal RNA
Rfam family: Bacterial small subunit ribosomal RNA
Source: RNAcentral